This 277-nucleotide ribosomal RNA is filed under the name Escherichia coli. RNAcentral's name for it is "partial 23S ribosomal RNA". It matches the Rfam family "Bacterial large subunit ribosomal RNA", at positions 1477 to 1751 of the family's 2925-position model. Lineage: Bacteria; Pseudomonadati; Pseudomonadota; Gammaproteobacteria; Enterobacterales; Enterobacteriaceae. RNAcentral also lists the same sequence under 3 other names. The record is from RNAcentral.
GAAGGCUAUGUUGGCCGGGCGACGGUUGUCCCGGUUUAAGCGUGUAGGCUGGUUUUCCAGGCAAAUCCGGAAAAUCAAGGCUGAGGCGUGAUGACGAGGCACUACGGUGCUGAAGCAACAAAUGCCCUGCUUCCAGGAAAAGCCUCUAAGCAUCAGGUAACAUCAAAUCGUACCCCAAACCGACACAGGUGGUCAGGUAGAGAAUACCAAGGCGCUUGAGAGAACUCGGGUGAAGGAACUAGGCAAAAUGGUGCCGUAACUUCGGGAGAAGGCACGC